This is a long non-coding RNA of Lynx canadensis (Canada lynx), 103 nucleotides long. RefSeq lists it as uncharacterized. The record is from RefSeq and is a predicted model, not a curated record. The transcript has 3 exons. Lineage: Eukaryota; Metazoa; Chordata; Mammalia; Carnivora; Felidae.
CUCUCAAGGGGAGAAAAGACCAAAAGCAACAAAGACUAGAAAGGACUAGAGAACACCACCAGGAACACCAGCUCUACAGGCAACACAGUUGCACUAAAUUGAU